Molecule: ribosomal RNA, 408 nt
Filed under: uncultured bacterium
Lineage: Bacteria
Description: partial 16S ribosomal RNA
Rfam family: Bacterial small subunit ribosomal RNA
Source: RNAcentral
GACGAACGCUGGCGGCGUGCUUAACACAUGCAAGUCGAACGAAGUGGAGAACGGGUGAGUAACGCGUAAUCAACCUGCCAUUCAGAGGGGGACAACAGUUGGAAACGACUGCUAAUACCGCAUACUGAAGGAGGGGAUUGCGUCUGAUUAGCUCGUUGGAGGUGUAACGGCCCACCAAGGCGAUGUGCAGUAGCCGGUCUGAGAGGAUGAACGGCCACAUUUGGACCGAGACACGGGCCAGACCCCUACGGGGUGCAGCAGUGGGGAAUCUUCCGCAAUGGACGAAAGUCUGACGGAGCAACGCCGCGUUGGUGAUGACGGCCUUCGGGUUGUAAAGCUAUGUUAAUCGGGACGCGGUACCUGAAUAGAAAGCCACGGCUAACUACGUGCCAGCAGCCGCGGUAAUUC